Tachysurus vachellii is the source of this 813-nucleotide long non-coding RNA. RefSeq lists it as uncharacterized. NCBI's taxonomy places the organism in Eukaryota, Metazoa, Chordata, Actinopteri, Siluriformes, Bagridae. The record is from RefSeq and is a predicted model, not a curated record. The transcript is spliced from 3 exons.
UUGCCCAGCAGCAUGCUUAGCAUUAAGAGAAGUGACAGAUUUGAUUUGGGUACACUCGUCUUCCCAACAUGCAGGGCAGACAUGACUAAUCUCAGCCUGCCAUCUGGUUAAAGACACAGCCGCUGCUGCCACCUGCCUUUUCCGUGACUCCUCGCCGCUUCUCUCGCCGCAGGGACGUAGCUGCAGGGGUCAGAGGUCAGCCUAGGGACCUGUGGAGAAAAGCUGGUCCUGCUGCUGUGAGGUCACACCUCCCCUGUGGCACGCUGAGAGACAUGAAAACCUGGAUGGUGCCGAGCCUCAGGGAAUCAGCAGUGAAAUGUUGGAGCUUGUAGGUAUUAAAGAAUGAGGACACAACUUGGAUCACAUAAUGGUUGUCUCAUGGAGGGCAUUUGUGUAAGCUGAGCCAGACUGUGCCUAUUUACAUCCACCGUCUCCAUCCGUGAAAGAGAGGGUCACUCCAUCUGUCACGGUUUAUCAACUGACAAAUUCCCACCGGUGCUAAUGAGUUUGGAGCUGCUGUAGGUCAAAGAGGAGACUGGCUGGGCGAGCGUUAAGCUGGUCAGGUGCUGCGCCACCAGUGAUCAUUAGGGUUACAGCUGCUUGGGCCAGAUUGUCUGCUGCCUAUGCCGGGCGAGAUGUCUCACCCAGGGAAAAAGAGCGAGCAUCUGUCUGUCCUUCCCCAUAGACACGAACCUCCUACCAGCCUGUCCAACUCAACCCGACCGGUAACAAGGUCACCUAGCUCUCUCGCUCUCCCCAACUCACUUUUUCUCUCACUCUCUCUCACUCUGUGCAGACGUUGUUAACUCUUUC